UGUAGUGUGAUCCUUCUAUUUAAAACGUAACUAUCAUAUGUUUACAAUACAAUAUUAAAUUACAAGUGUAUGCCUGACUGAAAUAGGUGAAACUGUGUCCUUGUUUGAAAUGGUGUAGAUAACUUGGGACCUAUCCAACAAGUGUGGUUUUUUUUUACAUUAUGAUAACUUAUCCGAUUGAAGACAUAAAUUUUCAACCAUAUUUAUGAUAUUUCAAUUGAAGAGAAGCACUUGAUGGGGUAUAUCAGGUGUGGGUUUUUUACAAUAUGAUCAAGUAUCCGAUAGAAGCCAAAUAUUAAUUCUGACUAUACCUGUUCUAUAUAACAACACUACAAAUGUUAUUAGUGUUACUAAUUCACACAGCUAUCCAGUUGACAGUAAGGGCCCAACAUAACCUUACACCAUAUGGCACAGCUAAUCAAAGUUCUGUGUUUGGUGGAAGUUUAAGUCAUCCACGAUAUGCAUUAUUGCCACCUAUAUCUAAUAAUUUUACUUUGGAUAUAUGCUCAACCACAAACGUAAAUAGUGGACCAAAAGCAUGGUGGAUGUUUCAAUUAUCUCUCGGAACUGCAUUUAUCACAGAUAUAACUAUUUACUACAGAGAAAAUUUUGCUUAUCGAAUGGAUGGAUUUAAAUUAUAUGUGACCAAUACAUCAACUAUUCCACCUAUAGGUUAUCUCUGUUAUGAAGAUCCUGGUCCCGGUCUUCCAAACCUCACUCAGACAAUUCCAUGUAAUCAACUUGGACAAUACGUCAUAUAUUAUGAUACUAAAGGAGACACAGCAUCCGGACCUGUGAUUGAAUUGUGUUAUGUUGCCAUUAAUGUUUAUCAACUUAUUUGCUAUGAAGGAGGAGGUAUGAUAUGAGCUAUGUUUUGGCCCCUGGAAUUAGUAAUCUUAUUCAAGACUUUCAAAAUAUAACAAUUUAUUUUUGAUAAAUGAACAAGUUAUUAUAAUCUGGACACUUUAGUGCUAAAUGGUAAUGUUAACUUGACGAAAUUUCCGUAUUGACUUUAAUUGGCCAUUCGCACAUACUUUUUGGUCAAAAUAUAUAUGAGCAACAGCUCUAUCCCAAAAAAACAUUUUCACACAUUAUCGUCUAGGUUAAACGCAUUUUGUAGCAAAAUAUCUUUUUGGGUAAUGCUGUUGCUCAUAUUAAUGCCAAGAUCUCAAAAUAAGGCUACGUUGGCAGUGUUUGCUGUAGUGUUUGCUGUAGUAUACUUAGUAAGAAGUUUUAGCAAUCUAUAAGACAAAAUUCAUAAACAUAAAUACAGAUUAAGUCUUAUGAAUAUUUGAAGAAUGAUUUGUGUAGAUUUAUAAUACUUUUUCAUAUUCAAAAUAAAGAGGUAAAAAAAGAGACUUUAUCAUACUUUCUCCUGUAUUUGUACCUAUCAUGUAUCUUUUGAUUUCUAAUUUAAGGGUUGUAUCGUCUUUCUAAUAAAAAAAACAAGUGUCCAAUCAGAAUUUAAAACAAGAGAAUAGUACAAUAAAUCAAUACCUUGU
Long non-coding RNA from Mytilus californianus (California mussel), 1502 nucleotides. RefSeq lists it as uncharacterized. The transcript has 6 exons. The record is from RefSeq and is a predicted model, not a curated record. NCBI's taxonomy places the organism in Eukaryota, Metazoa, Mollusca, Bivalvia, Mytilida, Mytilidae.